RNAcentral lists this ribosomal RNA (451 nucleotides) under Protopolybia amarella. RNAcentral's name for it is "partial large subunit ribosomal RNA". The stretch from base 326 to 451 matches the Rfam family "Bacterial large subunit ribosomal RNA", at positions 2473 to 2599 of the family's 2925-position model. Lineage: Eukaryota; Metazoa; Arthropoda; Insecta; Hymenoptera; Vespidae. The record is from RNAcentral.
AGUCGUUCUGCCCAUUGUUUUUAAAAGGCUGCGGUAUAUUAACUGUACAAAGGUAGCAAAAUAAAUAGUUUUUUAAUUGAAAACUUGAAUGAAAGAGUUGAUAAAAUAUAAAUUGUCUCAAAAAUAUAAUUUAAAUAAAAAGUAAAAAUGCUUUUAUAUUUUUAUUAGACGAUAAGACCCUAAGAAUUUUAUAAUUUUAUGAAUGUUUAAAAAUUUUUGAUAAAUUAUUUUAUUGGGAGGAUAAUUAAAUAACUUUAAUUAUAAAAUAUAUUUUUAAAUAGAGUUAAUGAUAAAUGUUUUAAUUGUAAGAAUUAAUUACCUUAGGGAUAACAGCGUAAUAAUUUUGGAGAGUUCAUAUUGAUAAAAUUGUUUGCGACCUCGAUGUUGAAUUAAAAUAAAAGUUAAAUGGAGAAAUUUAAUUUUUUAGUCUGUUCGACUAUUAAAAUUUUAC